UCAUUGUGGAUACAAAUAAGAUAAAUAUUUUGAGGCCUCUAGAUUUGGUGGAUAGAGAGACCAAAAAGGAGGAGAGCAUUUUCGGACGGUAGGCAGGGAACCAUGUGGCAG
Molecule: ribosomal RNA, 111 nt
Filed under: Leptocylindrus danicus
Lineage: Eukaryota; Bacillariophyta; Leptocylindrophyceae; Leptocylindrales; Leptocylindraceae
Description: partial 5.8S ribosomal RNA
Source: RNAcentral